AUUAAUAAGCGGAGGAAAAGAAACCAACCGGGAUUCCCCGAGUAAGGGCGACUGAAACGGGACCUAGCCCAGCGCAUAACCUCGCGGUUCGUGCAGAGCCGACGAGGGGUGUUGCGUAUCGGUGGAUCCGUCCCGCCCGUGCCCUACCGCCUAAGUCCAAGUAGGAAUACAGCCCCGCGGAGGGUGAGAGGCCCGUGUGGCGGCGCCCGCAAGGGCUACUAGGGCGCGGGCGGAGGGAUCGCUUCACCGGAGAGUCGGGUUGCUUAAUACUGCAGCCCUAAGAGAGGUGGUAAACUCCAUCUAAGGCUAAAUACAACCACGAGUCCGAUAGGAGACAAGUACCGUGAGGGAAAGUUGAAAAGGACUUUGAAGAGAGAGUUCAACAGUACGUGAAGCCGUUAGAAGCCCAAACGGGUGGAACCGCGAAGGUCGAACGAGGGCACUCACCCCGUCGGGCGGGCGGGACCCGGGGCGCUCCGACAGGCCGGCGCCGAAAGUUGAAAGAGAGUUGGAGCGCAGGAGCGCCCCGUCCGUCGCGUCCCGCUCCGGCGGGCGUACUUGUCCCUCCAGUAGCGGACGCCGCGAGCCGUGGCGGGGACCAGGAGGCCCAAGCAGCCCGGAUUGGUACCCUCGGUCCGGAGGGGAAACCGCUCAGGCUGGGAGUUAGAUGGUGGCCCCGCCACGGCCCGGCCCAGGGCGGCCCGAUCCUCCUCCUCGCGGGGAGGGUUUAGGGCCGCCUCGCGGCGGAGGACGAAGUCGGUGAUCCACCCGA
Molecule: ribosomal RNA, 772 nt
Filed under: Atyoida pilipes
Lineage: Eukaryota; Metazoa; Arthropoda; Malacostraca; Decapoda; Atyidae
Description: eukaryotic LSU rRNA
Rfam family: Eukaryotic large subunit ribosomal RNA
Source: RNAcentral